GUUCCUAGUUGGAUUCGUUAACCACUGCGCCACGACGGGAACUCCAUAAAAACUCUAAGGAUUUUAAAGUCUAAUAUCAUGUACCAUUUUAUUCCUACCAAAUGACAGCCUGCCCGAGAAUGAAACAACUGAAAGAACGAUGAGCUACUCAUCUCGGAUGAAUCGGAGCACCUAGGUCCCGCCUGCCUGAGGCUGGACCAUACAUGCUCGGCAUCUUUCAGCUUAAGGAGCUGAUAAAUAACCUUUUCCCUAAACGAAUUCGGACUGAGUUUCUGUCAGAAUCCUGAUUAUAGCUGCUAUAGUCUUAUUUGUAAAUUCAUCAACUUCAUGCACUCAUUUACGAGUCUUUCUUAUCAGAGAACAAGGACUUAACUCAUCCCAUCAGCUCCAGCCUCGACACAAGCCAGCUCAAAGCUUGAACUCUGCUGGGGAUGCUGUAGGCAGACCCCCAUUACUGAAAUUCCCAUCACGCAGAAAUUUCAGGGCCGCACCUGCAGCAUUUGUCAAAUCGGAG
This is a long non-coding RNA of Phacochoerus africanus (Common warthog), 514 nucleotides long. RefSeq lists it as uncharacterized. The transcript has 3 exons. NCBI's taxonomy places the organism in Eukaryota, Metazoa, Chordata, Mammalia, Artiodactyla, Suidae. The record is from RefSeq and is a predicted model, not a curated record.